This 45-nucleotide non-coding RNA is filed under the name Schistosoma mattheei. The record is from RNAcentral. Lineage: Eukaryota; Metazoa; Platyhelminthes; Trematoda; Strigeidida; Schistosomatidae.
AUCCAACCGACGAGUCUCAAAUAGGACGAAACGCAUGUCCUGGAU